RNAcentral lists this ribosomal RNA (424 nucleotides) under uncultured bacterium. RNAcentral's name for it is "partial 16S ribosomal RNA". It matches the Rfam family "Bacterial small subunit ribosomal RNA", at positions 360 to 776 of the family's 1533-position model. The record is from RNAcentral.
AAUAUUGCACAAUGGGCGAAAGCCUGAUCCAGCCAUGCCUCUUGUGUGAAGAAGGUCUUCGGUUUGUAAAUCACUUCAAGUUGGGAGGUAGGGGUUGAAGCUAAUACCUUCAAUCUUUGACGUUACCAACUUAAUAAGCACCGGCUAACUCUGUGCCUGCAGCCGCGGUAAUACUGAGGGUGCAAGCGUUAAUCGGAAUUACUGGGCGUAAAGCGCGCGUAGGUGGUUCAGUAAGAUGGAAAUGAAAUCCCCGGGCUUAACCUGGGAACUGCUUUCAUAACUGCUGAGCUAGAGUACGGUAGAGGGUAGUGGAAUUUCCUGUGUAGCGGUGAAAUGCGUAGAUAUAGGAAGGAACACCAGUGGCGAAGGCGACUACCUGGACUGAUACUGACACUGAGGUGCGAAAGCGUGGGGAGCAAACAGG